CAUCGCCCAGAUGCAGAAGCCGAGGGUAAUCCUUCUUUUCUAAAAAAAAGUAGCCGUUUGUACUAAAAUAGAAAAAGGAGUGAACAUAACAAAUACCAAAAUUAUAUAAUCUAAAAAGAUACCAAGCAGCAAACCUGAGGUGUCAAUGCAAAGAGCAGCAGGUUGACCAACAACUGGACCAUCAAAUGGAGCCGAAGACUCUCCUAAAAAAGGGGGGAACCAUGAGUGCAGGCUCGUUUUGAAAAACCAAAAUGAAUUUGUACAGCGUGUUUUUUCUUGAAUUUAUGAUUUCUUUUCUAAAUAGUCACAGUGGUGUACAGAAAAAGACAGAAACCUAUUCCUAAAAUGAGCCGUCUUGUUGUUGGGCCGAUUUUUUUCCGUACAGUCUACAAAUCACAAAAAAAUUCAAAUGAUUCUUCACACGUGCAUGCGGAAAAUGUAUAAGUUUCCACGGAUGUUCUUUCGAUUUUUUUGAAACUUUGGAUAUAGCUUUGCUCUUUUUUAAAUACCGAGCUCGCCAGAGCUCGGGCGCUAUUGACACUUUCCCAAGAAUCAUACAUUGUAUGCAAAAAAACAAAGAAAAAGGAACUGCAUGGGGGCAUGCACGUAGUCACAACUCACAAAGGCAAGACGCAAUAAUGCAUGGGACAUGCAUGUAGCCCCGUCGGCAGCCCCGGCAUGCACCAUGAACAUAUAUUGCCCUCUUAGAUAAAAGAUGGCAAACAAUUUAACAUAUUUUAUCUGUAACAAUUUUUCACAAAAACUAAAACGUAUAGAUAAGCAGUACCAGAGAACUCAGCCGAAGAGCUGGGCAAGGAAACAGCAGAGUCCACACCACGUGAAGAACCAAGACCACAUAAAGAAUCGGCUACAAUAGGGGAAGAAACAAAUAACUAAUUACAUAAAAUAAAUAAAUGAAAGACUGAGACAACCCAAUCCGAACCAAGCAAGGAAAGAACCCACGCAUACUCACCAACAGCGCCAUCAACAGGACGCUUUCCCAGUCGGAUCUCUUUGCGCCGCCGACGCAAAUCAGCGGCAGAUGAACUCUAACCUCAAACCCCUACACGGAACAUCAAGGCAAAUACCUUAAUUACUUGACGUGACUAACCAGAAGAUGCAGACCCAACGACAUGAUGAAUAGCUGGACGGCCUCACGUAGUAAAUCAUCAUCGGACAGACGACCGCCCACAGGAGGUCCCGAAAUGGACGCACCACGGCCUCGCCGAUCAUUACGCCCAACAACUAUCCCAUGGAUCCCACGUGGACAACCCGGACGACGGAGACGCAGACCGGUACGCCCAAUAACUGCGCCGCGAAUUCCAGGAGGACGACCCGGACUGCGGAGGCCACUUCGGCAAGGCCUACCACGAUCCAUCUAUGUGAAUGGAGAC
RNAcentral lists this long non-coding RNA (1394 nucleotides) under Triticum aestivum (bread wheat). RNAcentral's name for it is "long non-coding RNA (TAES_LNC012405)". The record is from RNAcentral. Lineage: Eukaryota; Viridiplantae; Streptophyta; Magnoliopsida; Poales; Poaceae.